GUGCGAAGCGUUAAUCGGAAUUACUGGGCGUAAAGCGCACGUAGGCCGCUUUGUAAGUCAGGGGUGAAAUCCCACGGCUCAACCGUGGAACUGCCCUUGAAACUGCAGAGCUUGAAUCCUGGUGAGGGUGGCGGAAUUCCUGGUGUAGGAGUGAAAUCCGUAGAUAUCAGGAGGAACACCGGUGGCGAAGGCGGCCACCUGGACAGGCAUUGACGCUGAGGUGCGAAAGUGUGGGGAGC
This 239-nucleotide ribosomal RNA is filed under the name uncultured bacterium. RNAcentral's name for it is "partial 16S ribosomal RNA". It matches the Rfam family "Bacterial small subunit ribosomal RNA", at positions 531 to 769 of the family's 1533-position model. The record is from RNAcentral.